GUUGUGGUGUCAUCUCCUCAGAGGGGUAAUCAGAAAACAAGCACUUAGUGCACACAAAUGAGUAUGGAUAUGUAGGCGGGACUAGUGACAGCAUCUUCAUGAGAUGGGAAGUGCAAGCAGACAAUAGCUUGAGGAUAGAUAUUUGGAGUUCUCCAGUUGAAAGAAGAAAGCUUAACCUGGCUUCUGAACUCCAAGAGCACACGGCAAAGUGAUUACAGGGACAAUAGCAAGUUGACGAAUGCCGGGCGGCUACAGCAUGCCCAGCAUAAAAUAGGAACUUGGUAAAUGUUGAAGACUCCACCCUCUGCCCAGCCUUGGUCCCAGGAGAACAAUGUUUUGCAAACAACACCCAGCUUGGGAGUGUCUGGGGUUCUGAUUUGAUUUUGGUCUAAUGUGGAAGCGGGGCUUCCCCCAGUUUUUCCCACCCUGGUCUGAUGGCUUCCUGUAGCAUUCCUUUCGCCUUCUGCAUGCAGGCAGGAGAUGAGAGAUCUGGAAGGCAACUGACAGCAGGGUGAGAUAAGAAAUCUCACCUCCUGCUUAUGCAUCAGAGGCAACUGAAACCCAGAGUGGCAGGCAAUUUCGUGUAGAUUACACACCUAGCUCACAGCAGGGCUGAGAUAAGGAUCUAUUUUUCAACUCUUUAAGCCAAUGACUCUCUACUUUUCUACUCUUCCACUGGGUCUCCUCUCUCUAGUUCUAUCUUUUCAGUACAACUUCUCUGUUAUUUCUAAGUCAAAUUCUUAGGUCUAUAUGCAUGAAAAGCACCUGUCAAAAGCUUUAAAAAUUGUUGUUAUUAGGUGUAUUUUAAGUACCAAUAGCUUUAUUUUGAUUCUCCUAAUAAAGAUCUUUCUUGGUGGGUGUUCUAAUUGAAUACUUUGAAAUUUGAAAACAUUCUCUUGGGAAAACACACAUUCUUAUGUAUUGUUGGUGGAAAUGCAAAGUGGUACAGCCACUAGGCAGGGAUUUCAGCAACAUGAUAGCUCUAUUUAUCUUUUAACCAAACAAUCCCACUUCUAGGAAUCUAUCCCAAAGAUAGACUACCAAAUAUGAAAAAAAAAAUGCAAAAGCCUAUUUAUUGUGGCACUGAUGGCAGUGGAAGGAAAUGGCAAUAGCCCAAAUAUUCACCAGGAGGGGACUGAUUGAAUAAACUAUGCUACAUCUACACAAUGAACUACUAUGUAGCUACUAAAAGAGAUAAAAGACUAACUUACAUACUGCCAAGGGGUAAUCUUUAGAAUAUAUUCUUAAGUGCAAAAAGCAAGACGAAAAUUAGAAUGUGUAUUAUGCUACCUUUUGCCUAAGAAAAGUGAGUGUGUAUUUAAUAUUUAACACAUUCAAUGACAGUAGGAUAGUAAACAACAAAUUAAUAAAAGUGAUUCAUUAGAGGAGGGAGGAAACAGUGAAAGCAACAGAUUUGGAAACGAGGUUUUCCUGAAUUUGCUUUGUUUUCUUCAUUUGAAAAUAUACAAAUAUUUGACAAAAUUAUAAAACAAAAAAAAUCCCUUAAUUCAAAAACAAAAUGAAAUAAAUCAGUCGGAGUAUUAACCACAUAGAAAGGAAUUAUUUGAAGUGAUUUACACUCUUAUCUAUUUGGUUGUAUAUCUGCAGUGGGAUAUGUCCUCAGGACGAAAAGAACUGCAACAAAAUAUUAAAUUGCUUCAGUAGUUAUAUUGUUAAUAAUAUGUUGGUAUGGAUUUUUAAAAAUUUUUCUUACAUUAACCAGGAAAAGCACAAAAUAAUUAUAUUUAUGUCAUAAGAAAUCAAGUUUUUUGACUUAAGAUAAUUAAAUAGAAAAUCGAAGACACUACAUUUAAAAAUCUGUAGCUCUUAACUUGAAUUGUAAAUAUCGGUAUAAACUCCUGAUGUAUUUCUAUUUAAAAACAUUUUCUGGAUGUGUCCACUGAAAAGGUCUAGAACCGAUGAUUAACCCCCCAAGAACAAGGAGCUCCCAAGCAUCCAUGCUUUUGUAUCCAAAUGCCUUUUUUAUUGAAAGGAACCAGGGGUCCUUGAGAAAAAAAAAAAAAAAGGUUAAUUCCAGCCUGGGGCAAGAAAUGUUCAAGAUGAGCUGGUAACAUCUUGUCAUACCAGAAAGCAAGGAAGCCUUCAAAGACAGCUUAGGCAAUGGCAAAAGACUCAAAACACACAGGACCCAACAGGUAAAGACUCCUAGUGGCCAAAGAUGAAAAAACUAUAUUCAAAGAUGGAUCUAAAAAGAACAAUAUCCAGGAGUUCAAGACCAGCCUGGACAACAUAGUGAUACCCUGUCUCUACAAAAAAUAAAAAAUGAAAAAUUAGCUGGGUGUGGUGGUGCACGCCUAUAGUCCCAGCUACUCAGGAGGCUGAGGUGGGAGAAUCACUUGAGCCCAAGAAGUCGAGGCUGCAGUGAAUUGUGAUUGCAGCACUGUACUCCAGCCUGGGCAACAGCAGAAGAUCCUAUUUCAACACAAACAAAGAAUAAUAUCCACAAUGUAUUGAAACAUAGAGGAUAUGUCAAAAUCCAAGUAUUUGUAGUGAUAUUUUAAAAGCUUUGCACUCCCCUUGUAGGAUGCCAGGAACCAACUCAUUGUUCUGAAAACUGGCAAAUAAAGGUAAAGAAUCAAGCAUUUAUCCCCAAUUUCCAGAAAGCGAUGUACCUUGGGAUAACCAAAAUAGUUGAGGAGAUAAACUUUUUCUUUUUCAAAAGAAUUUAUAAACAAAGGAGGCAUUAGAAGGAGCUAGAAUACCACCACUUUGUAACCACUAAUGAAACAAUGAGUCUAGGCAAGGAUUAUCAAUGACUGCUAAAACUGUUAGACAAAAUGCUGAAGGGAAGCUUUGGAUGAAGCUAGCUUCACCUACUCCCAAUGGUCAAUGCCAAUAUCACAAAAAGAGAGAGAACCAGAUAUUAUGUGUCUCUGGUUGGAUGCAAUGGGAAGGACACAGCACAUCUCCUGAUAUAUUAUCACUCAAACCUUCUAAGCUAAAUCUUAGCCAGCCUCUAGAUCUAACUACUAGGGCUGUAGAAAACACAAGGGAAAAAUAAAUCUGUCAAGAAUCACCAUGGGGAUACAGUCAGCAACAUGCAAAAUGUAGAAAAUAUGCUCUAGGUUUUUCAACAAACAAAUUUUAAGAAAAUUAAAAAGAGAAGGAUAAUGUAUUAACAGAUUUAAGAGGUGCAUUCCCAGGUGCAACGUAGGAGCCUUGCUCACCCUCCAAUUCAAGCACACCAAUGAUAGAACCAACCUUGAUAGAUAUUUGAAAUUUUACACAGUGAAAAAUAGGUUUUCAUUAAUUGUAUGAUUAUGUAUUUUUAUAUCUAGACAUUAUGGUGGACUCUUUUAGUAGCUAUUGGUGGAAGAGGGCUGCCUCUUUGCAGAAGUAUUUUUGGAAUAUGAGUUGAAAUGUAUGUAUUUCUAAACUUUAGGCUCUAAAGGACUGUAAAUUGCUAGAAUAUAUUUAUGUUUCUACUCUACAUAAUUAUGCAUUUUUCUUUACAUCCUCCUCCAGUUGAAAAGCUCUUUGAAGGAAAGAAUUAAAUGAAUUGUUUUACCAAAAAAAUGAAAUAAAUGAUGAACUCGGGUUUUUUUUGUUUUAUUUUGUUUUUACAAAAAAAAAAAAAA
This 3599-nucleotide small RNA is filed under the name Pongo abelii (Sumatran orangutan). RNAcentral describes it as "processed transcript". Lineage: Eukaryota; Metazoa; Chordata; Mammalia; Primates; Hominidae. The record is from RNAcentral.